Molecule: ribosomal RNA, 429 nt
Filed under: Bacillota bacterium
Lineage: Bacteria; Bacillati; Bacillota
Description: Firmicutes bacterium partial 16S ribosomal RNA
Rfam family: Bacterial small subunit ribosomal RNA
Source: RNAcentral
UAGGGAAUCUUCCACAAUGGACGCAAGUCUGAUGGAGCAACGCCGCGUGAGUGAAGAAGGUUUUCGGAUCGUAAAGCUCUGUUGUUGGUGAAGAAGGAUAGAGGUAGUAACUGGCCUUUAUUUGACGGUAAUCAACCAGAAAGUCACGGCUAACUACGUGCCAGCAGCCGCGGUAAUACGUAGGUGGCAAGCGUUGUCCGGAUUUAUUGGGCGUAAAGCGAGCGCAGGCGGAAGAAUAAGUCUGAUGUGAAAGCCCUCGGCUUAACCGAGGAACUGCAUCGGAAACUGUUUUUCUUGAGUGCAGAAGAGGAGAGUGGAACUCCAUGUGUAGCGGUGGAAUGCGUAGAUAUAUGGAAGAACACCAGUGGCGAAGGCGACUCUCUGGUCGGAAACUGACGCUGAGGCUCGAAAGCAUGGGUAGCGAACAGG